CGCUGCCUGUGGGGCCAGAGGAGAAACACAAGGGCUGUCAGGACACCCCGCACGGCGGCGGCUCCUGCUGCCCUGGGAGAGAGCGUCCAGGCGCCAAGGGGCCGCAAGUGCAUCUAGUCCCCGGGACAGUCCUGGGGGCAACAUAUCUGCUUUCCCAUGGGAGAGACCAGGGAAAGGGCUUCCCAGCGAUUCAUGGCGAGGAAUGAGCUGUGCAAGAGCUUGGACUCAGUAUUCUGCGGGAAAGGUUUGGCCUUCUUGGGGUACAAGAAUCUGGUGACUAAAAGAAACAGGAGCUGAUGUUGGCCAGUGGAAGAUGCGGGUUCCAAGUUAUUGACCAACUGACCCUUGGCGAGGGUCAUCAGGGCAACAUGAUGCAAGAGAGAUCAAAAUGGCUCCUUUCCCCUGAGCCUUCCAGUUGCUGCUCAAGAUUCAUGGAGACUUAACAUAAAGGUUUCCUGUGGCAACAGGCAACUCUUAAGACCUACUUCCGAUGCAGAAGUGUUUUCAAAUUGCGACUCAUAAGUGGGUCGUGAAAUCAUUUUUGCGGGGC
Molecule: long non-coding RNA, 550 nt
Organism: Orcinus orca (killer whale)
Lineage: Eukaryota; Metazoa; Chordata; Mammalia; Artiodactyla; Delphinidae
Exons: 3
Source: RefSeq, a predicted model, not a curated record